GACGAACGCUGGCGGCGUGCUUAACACAUGCAAGUCGAACGGAAAGGCCCUGCUUUUGUGGGGUGCUCGAGUGGCGAACGGGUGAGUAACACGUGAGUAACCUGCCCUUGACUUUGGGAUAACUUCAGGAAACUGGGGCUAAUACCGGAUAGGAGCUCCUGCUGCAUGGGGGGGGUUGGAAAGUUUCGGCGGUUGGGGAUGGACUCGCGGCUUAUCCGCUUGUUGGUGGGGUAGUGGCUUACCAGGGCUUUGACGGGUAGCCGGCCUGAGAGGGUGACCGGCGACAUUGGGACUGAGAUACGGCCCAGACUCCUACGGGAGGCAGCAGGGGGGAAUAUUGCACAAUGGGCGGAAGCCUGAUGCAGCAACGCCGCGUGCGUGAUGACGUCCUUCGGGUUGUAAACCGCUUUCGCCUGUGACGAAGAGUGAGUGACGGUAAUGGGUAAAGAAGCACCGGCUAACUACGUG
Molecule: ribosomal RNA, 468 nt
Filed under: uncultured bacterium
Lineage: Bacteria
Description: partial 16S ribosomal RNA
Rfam family: Bacterial small subunit ribosomal RNA
Source: RNAcentral